CAAAGUAGAGCUUUGUAGUAAAGUACUCCGUUUACAUUGGAGGGAAUUCUGUGCAAUUCAGGAUAUUUUGA
RNAcentral lists this transfer RNA (71 nucleotides) under Sanaa intermedia. RNAcentral's name for it is "tRNA-Val". The record is from RNAcentral. Lineage: Eukaryota; Metazoa; Arthropoda; Insecta; Orthoptera; Tettigoniidae.